RNAcentral lists this ribosomal RNA (263 nucleotides) under uncultured bacterium. Its description in RNAcentral is "partial 16S ribosomal RNA". It matches the Rfam family "Bacterial small subunit ribosomal RNA", at positions 793 to 1055 of the family's 1533-position model. The record is from RNAcentral.
GUCCUAGCCGUAAACAAUGGAUACUAGAUGUUGAACAGAUCGACCUGUGCAGUAUUAAAGCUAACGCGUUAAGUAUCCCGCCUGGGAAGUAUGCUCGCAAGAGUGAAACUCAAAGGAAUUGACGGGGCCCGCACAAGCGGUGGAGCAUGUGGUUUAAUUCGAUGCAACGCGAAGAACCUUACCAGGGUUUGACAUGAUACGAAUUUCUUUGAAAGAAGAAAGUGCCGUUUGGAACGUAUACACAGGUGGUGCAUGGCUAUCGU